This 554-nucleotide unclassified non-coding RNA is filed under the name Pomacea canaliculata. Its description in RNAcentral is "uncharacterized LOC112569104, transcript variant X4". The record is from RNAcentral. Lineage: Eukaryota; Metazoa; Mollusca; Gastropoda; Architaenioglossa; Ampullariidae.
CAACUCUGCUGCGUUCUUGCUGUAGGUAGAGUAGGCUUCCCCUGCUUGUGCAAAGCCAUUGUCAAAGAAAAUACAUUCCACUCGCGAAGUCACCAGGGUGCAACUGUCACCAAAAAGCUAUGGGAUUUCAGAUUAUAUUAUUGCUCGUCUCCUCUCUAAUGCCAUUAACAUGGGGGCUUGGUGUGGAGUUAAAUUGUCCAGUCACCUUCAGUAGUGGCAUAAACAACAUUACUUGCAAGAUCAAUAAGACAGCCAUUGAAAAUGCUGGUUGUAGUUUCAUGCACAAGUCGGUUACAUUUGACUUUAAGGUGAAAUCUACUACAAGCACCGUGUGCUAUGUUGAAUAUGACACUUCACAAAUCUGCACUGAAGACUCACAUAAAGAGGGUUGCUUUUGUAAUAAACGAGUUGGUGAUAUUUGGAGUAUGCAUUUAUUUUCAAGUACAACAGUUUGAACACAAACAUGGAAAGUUUGGCGUGCAAAACUUUGCAUUUACCUAAAUUUCACCUUAAUGAAACAACCACUGAUGGCUGCAAAAACUUUACAGAAAAGG